UGGGGAAUAUUGCACAAUGGGCGAAAGCCUGAUGCAGCGACGCCGCGUGAGGGAUGACGGCCUUCGGGUUGUAAACCUCUUUCAGCAGGGAAGAAGCGAAAGUGACGGUACCUGCAGAAGAAGCGCCGGCUAACUACGUGCCAGCAGCCGCGGUAAUACGUAGGGCGCAAGCGUUGUCCGGAAUUAUUGGGCGUAAAGAGCUCGUAGGCGGUUAGUCGCGUCUGCUGUGAAAACUCGAGGCUCAACCUCGGGCUUGCAGUGGGUACGGGCUGACUAGAGUGCGGUAGGGGUGACUGGAAUUCCUGGUGUAGCGGUGGAAUGCGCAGAUAUCAGGAGGAACACCGAUGGCGAAGGCAGGUCACUGGGCCGCAACUGACGCUGAGGAGCGAAAGCGUGGGGAGCGAACAGGAUUAGAUACCCUGGUAGUCCACGCCGUAAACGUUGGGCGCUAGAUGUGGGGACCAUUCCACGGUUUCCGUGUCGCAGCUAACGCAUUAAGCGCCCCGCCUGGGGAGUACGGCCGCAAGGCUAAAACU
RNAcentral lists this ribosomal RNA (536 nucleotides) under uncultured bacterium. RNAcentral describes it as "partial 16S ribosomal RNA". It matches the Rfam family "Bacterial small subunit ribosomal RNA", at positions 355 to 901 of the family's 1533-position model. The record is from RNAcentral.